Ricinus communis (castor bean) is the source of this 1194-nucleotide long non-coding RNA. RefSeq lists it as uncharacterized. NCBI's taxonomy places the organism in Eukaryota, Viridiplantae, Streptophyta, Magnoliopsida, Malpighiales, Euphorbiaceae. The transcript is spliced from 2 exons. The record is from RefSeq and is a predicted model, not a curated record.
UUCAAUCUUGCUCGAUAAAAUCUAUGCUUGGAUGUAGACUGCUAAGUCCAUGUUCUGUCUAAUAGGCACAAGCAUAGAUUUUAUGAAAAUAAACCCUAUAGAUCAGUUUGUAGUUGGUUGAGACUCAAUGCUGCAAUUCAGAUUUUAAACUGCAAGUCGCCUACAACGAGAGUUCUUUUUAUCUUUUUUUUACGGUACUACUUUAUUGUUUAAUCUCAAACAAAAGGAUACAUAAACAAAUCAAAAUAGGUGAUAGAAUAAUAUUAGUGAAAAAAUUUUCAUAUUAAUAUUAUGAUACCAAUGUCCUAAAAAUUAUAUCCUUAAUAAAAGUAAAAUUAUUAAUUUUUAUCUUAAAAACUUUAUAAUCAGUAGAAUAAAAUAUAAAUAUUGAUGAAUUUUUUAGUCUUAUAUUAUAUGUAAUUGUCUAUUCGGAGGGAUGAUUUUUGAAACUUAUAUCUCAAAAUGUUGAUAUUACAUUUUGGUUGAACCUUUGCAUUAAGCUUUAUGAUUGGUGCUUUGAUUCAUAUUAAGCUUAGCUAUCAAUUUACAAACAUUCUGUAGUAAAUAAAGUCUGGUUGAUCAUGCUUGGUGAAAAUUGCUAUUGGUCGCCCUUUUCUCCAAUUAUUUGGAGAAAGAAAAACUCUUGCCGACUUUGAAAACACCAAAGAAGACCAACUGGUUCAUGAGAAAUAGAUAAUUGAAGCCCAUACGAACUUUAAAGUACAGAUGCAGAAUGAAUUUGGACCGAACUCCAUGGGCCUAUUUAUUAAUAAAAUUGCCCAAUCUAUAGAAAGAAGAAGAAGAAGAUAGAUAGAUAGAGGCAGACGAGGGAAGUGAAAGCAAAAACUGUUCAAUUAACUUGAAAUCGUUGAGGCGGAAGAAGAUGAUUCACCGAAAAUGGAGCCUGUUAACUGGCCCGGCAGCAAUCUUGGGCGGGAUCGUGGCUACGGUGGUUGUCGCCAACUUUAUUUUCGUUAAGAACGAUCCAUUUCUUAAACCACGGCAAGGGAAGCCAGAUGCACCACCAUCUGCCAAAUAGAACGGAAGUUGAGCAAAUCGUGUUACGAAUUUGAUGUAAGCUUCUCUGGUGGUUUGUGUUUGUUGAGUAUGUUUUGGUGAAACAUAUGUUAAAGCUGCAACUUAGGACAAGUUCUUAAUUGAAUAAUAUGGAGAUCCUUGAUCAAGUUUUAAGUA